GAUGAACGCUGGCGGCGUGCCUAAUACAUGCAAGUCGAGCGAACAGAUGAGGAGCUUGCUCCUCUGACGUUAGCGGCGGACGGGUGAGUAACACGUGGAUAACCUACCUAUAAGACUGGGAUAACUUCGGGAAACCGGAGCUAAUACCGGAUAAUAUAUUGAACCGCAUGGUUCAAUAGUGAAAGACGGUUUUGCUGUCACUUAUAGAUGGAUCCGCGCCGCAUUAGCUAGUUGGUAAGGUAACGGCUUACCAAGGCAACGAUGCGUAGCCGACCUGAGAGGGGGAUAGGCCACACUGGAGCGGAGACACGGUCCAGACGCCUACGAGAGGCAGCAGUAGGGAAUCUUCCGCAAUGGGCGAAAGCCUGACGGAGCAACGCCGCAUGAGUGAUGAAGGUCUUCGGAUCGUAAAACUCUGUUAUUAGGGAAGAACAAAUGUGUAAGUAACUAUGCACGGCUUGACGGUACCUAAUCAGAAAGCCACGGCUAACUACGUG
RNAcentral lists this ribosomal RNA (497 nucleotides) under uncultured bacterium. Its description in RNAcentral is "partial 16S ribosomal RNA". It matches the Rfam family "Bacterial small subunit ribosomal RNA", at positions 28 to 507 of the family's 1533-position model. The record is from RNAcentral.